CGAAAUGCGAUACUUGGUGUGAAUUGCAGAAUCCCGUGAACCAUCGAGUCUUUGAACGCAAGUUGCGCCCAAAGCUUCGGCUGAGGGCACGUCUGCCUGGGUGUCACGC
Molecule: ribosomal RNA, 109 nt
Filed under: Lythrum hyssopifolia
Lineage: Eukaryota; Viridiplantae; Streptophyta; Magnoliopsida; Myrtales; Lythraceae
Description: 5.8S ribosomal RNA
Rfam family: 5.8S ribosomal RNA
About the family: 5.8S ribosomal RNA (5.8S rRNA) is a component of the large subunit of the eukaryotic ribosome.
Source: RNAcentral